CGUAGGGUCCGAGCGUUGUCCGGAAUUAUUGGGCGUAAAGGGCUCGUAGGCGGUUUGUCGCGUCGGGAGUGAAAACACCGGGCUUAACUCGGUGCUUGCUUUCGAUACGGGCAGACUGGAGGUAUGCAGGGGAGAACGGAAUUCCUGGUGUAGCGGGGAAAUGCGCAGAUAUCAGGAGGAACACCGGUGGCGAAGGCGGUUCUCUGGGCAUUACCUGACGCUGAGGAGCGAAAGUGUGGGGAGCGAACAGG
Molecule: ribosomal RNA, 251 nt
Filed under: uncultured bacterium
Lineage: Bacteria
Description: partial 16S ribosomal RNA
Rfam family: Bacterial small subunit ribosomal RNA
Source: RNAcentral